This 1384-nucleotide long non-coding RNA is filed under the name Olea europaea subsp. europaea. The record is from RNAcentral. Lineage: Eukaryota; Viridiplantae; Streptophyta; Magnoliopsida; Lamiales; Oleaceae.
AUACAUGAUAUCGUGCACUAGUGAAAAUUUAUUGCAAUCCAUAAUAGAAAAGUCUCGCAACUAUUUGGUUGGGGGCCGUUGACUUCGGAAAACUAGAAACAAAUGUCUUGUUAUUGGAUGCAAAAACAAAGUAAAUUUUGGACUAGUAAUUAUAGAAGAAUUUUUGCAUUACACACCUUUUUGAAUUUAAGAAUACAAAUUCAGUUAACUACAACAACAAUUGAAGCCUUUUUGAACUAAAUCUUGGUUGUUCGAACAAUAUUUUUCAACCUGUCCAUUCAGUUCAUUCCCGGUAAGUUAUUCAUCGGAUACUGCAGGAAUAUUACUUAUUGACUGGUUAAGUAGUAGGCAAUUUGGUGUAUUCGACGCUCCCAUAUAAUUCAAUCUCUUCACCAUGGUUCUCCUUGCACUGGAAGUACAAAACUGUACAUGCCAUGUCCAAUAAAAUCUUCCCCAAAGAAGAAAUGAUCAGCACUAAUAAGUUCCCAUAAAUUGUUGAAUUAAAUGUUCCCUUGUUUCCUUGUAUCCUCCUGCAACCUAGAUAUACACUCAAAAAAAGCAGGUUGUAACAUAUAAUUAGCAAAACACCAUGUAACUUCUUGCCCUUAACAAUUGUAGCAGCUUUUCCUAAUGCUUCCAUUCCAUAACAAUUUUCCUCAAGUGCUGAAACCAUAAUUGCUAAGGUCCAAACCACUGCUAAAUAGAGAUAGUAAACUGAAGCCAAAAUCCCGAGCAAAAGAGCUGCUAAAAUGAUGGCAUAAUUACCAGACAUUAACAAAGGAGCAACCAAUGACAAAAAUAAGAACAAGUAACCUAUUGAAUGGAGUUUUGUAUAGAAUCCUGUUAAAAAUACCCUUUUCCAUGUUUUCACUAUCCUAAAACACAGAUCUUUCAAGAAUAAUGUCUGGUUUUUAUAAGACAUGGCUGAUAGUAAUACCGUAGCAGUGGUAGAGAAAAUUGAGAAAAUGAAGGAAGCAAUAUAGAAAGCCAUUUGCACAGACAGGAAAAGGGUAAAAUCUUCUCUCAGAUGGUCUACUUGGCCAAGAAGCCGGGUGAGAGGCGAGGUAGUAUUCGGUGUAAACGGGCUCUGAUCCGGAUCAAAAGAACUACGAUCUGGCACGAAAGAAUUCUUGAUAAUGACAAACACAUCAAGAAGUAAGGACUUGAGGGAGAAACUGAGCAACAAGAAAGAGAUUGAAUAGAAGACUAAAGAAAGUACAACUAUUAAUGCCACAAGCUUCCCAUUUUUUGGCAAAAGUUUGAUAGAUUCCUUUAUUAUCACCAAGAAACCAAAAAUUUCAUAGACAUCCAUGACACUAUUAAGUGUUUUGUAGCUAUAUGAACAAUCCCCUUUAUGUUUUACUCCGAGAAAUGCUCCAGCUAU